GCUGGGUGUGGUGGUGCACAGCCGUAGUCCCAGCUACUCAGGAGGCUGAGGCAGGAGGAUCACUUGAGCCCAGGAGUUUGAGAUUGCAGUUUGAGCUAUGAUUACACCACUGCACUCCAGCCUGGGCAAAAGAGUGGGACCCUGUCUCCA
Molecule: unclassified non-coding RNA, 150 nt
Organism: Papio anubis (olive baboon)
Lineage: Eukaryota; Metazoa; Chordata; Mammalia; Primates; Cercopithecidae
Rfam family: Metazoan signal recognition particle RNA
About the family: The signal recognition particle (SRP) is a universally conserved ribonucleoprotein. It is involved in the co-translational targeting of proteins to membranes. The eukaryotic SRP consists of a 300-nucleotide 7S RNA and six proteins: SRPs 72, 68, 54, 19, 14, and 9.
Source: Ensembl